This 501-nucleotide ribosomal RNA is filed under the name uncultured bacterium. RNAcentral describes it as "partial 16S ribosomal RNA". It matches the Rfam family "Bacterial small subunit ribosomal RNA", at positions 28 to 507 of the family's 1533-position model. The record is from RNAcentral.
GACGAACGCUGGCGGCGUGCUUAACACAUGCAAGUCGAACGGUGAAGGGGUCUGCUUUUGUGGGCCCUGGAUGAGUGGCGAACGGGUGAGUAACACGUGAGUAACCUGCCCCCUUCUUCUGGAUAACCGCAUGAAGGGUGGCUAAUACGGGAUAUUCUGGGUCUGUCGCAUGAUGGGUCUGGGAAAGGUUGCGCCUUUGGGUGUUUUUGGUGGGGGAUGGGCUCGCGGCCUAUCAGCUUGUUGGUGGGGUGAUGGCCUACCAAGGCGGUGACGGGUAGCCGGCCUGGGGGGGUGGACGGUCACACUGGGACUGCGACACGGCCCAGACUCCUACGGGAGGCAGCAGUGGGGAAUAUUGCACAAUGGGCGCAAGCCUGAUGCAGCGACGCCGCGUGAGGGAUGGAGGCCUUCGGGUUGUAAACCUCUUUCGCCAGUGAAGCAGGCCUGCUCCUUGUGGGUGGGUUGACGGUAGCUGGACAAGAAGCGCCGGCUAACUACGUG